GACGAACGCUGGCGGCGUGCCUAAUACAUGCAAGUAGAACGCUGAAGGAGGAGCUUGCUUCUCUGGAUGAGUUGCGAACGGGUGAGUAACGCGUAGGUAACCUGCCUGGUAGCGGGGGAUAACUAUUGGAAACGAUAGCUAAUACCGCAUAAUAGUAGAUGUUGCAUGACAUUUGCUUAAAAGGUGCAAUUGCAUCACUACCAGAUGGACCUGCGUUGUAUUAGCUAGUUGGUGAGGUAACGGCUCACCAAGGCGACGAUACAUAGCCGACCUGAGAGGGGGAGCGGCCACACUGGGACUGUGACACGCCCCAGUCUCCUACGGGAGGCAGCAGUAGGGAAUCUUCGGCAAUGGGCGGAAGUCUGACCGAGCAACGCCGCGUGAGUGAAGAAGGUUGUCGGAUCGUAAAGCUCUGUUGUAAGGGAAGAACGAGUGUGAGAGUGGAAAGUUCACACUGUGACGGUAUCUUACCAGAAAGGGACGGCUAACUACGUG
Molecule: ribosomal RNA, 495 nt
Filed under: uncultured bacterium
Lineage: Bacteria
Description: partial 16S ribosomal RNA
Rfam family: Bacterial small subunit ribosomal RNA
Source: RNAcentral